Molecule: transfer RNA, 57 nt
Filed under: Ictidomys tridecemlineatus (thirteen-lined ground squirrel)
Lineage: Eukaryota; Metazoa; Chordata; Mammalia; Rodentia; Sciuridae
Description: Spermophilus tridecemlineatus (thirteen-lined ground squirrel) tRNA
Rfam family: tRNA
About the family: Transfer RNA (tRNA) molecules are approximately 80 nucleotides in length.
Source: Rfam by way of RNAcentral
UAGCUCAGUGGUAGAGCACUUGCCUAGCAAGUGUGAGGCACUGGGUUCAAUUCUCAG